This 588-nucleotide ribosomal RNA is filed under the name Thermomyces lanuginosus. RNAcentral describes it as "eukaryotic LSU rRNA". The stretch from base 222 to 375 matches the Rfam family "5.8S ribosomal RNA". The record is from RNAcentral. Lineage: Eukaryota; Fungi; Ascomycota; Eurotiomycetes; Eurotiales; Trichocomaceae.
GAAGGAUCAUUACCGAGUGCGGGAACCCAGUCGGGUCCCAAUCUCCCACCCGUGUCUACCACACCUAGUGUUGCUUUGGCGGGCCCACUCCUCCGGUGUUCCGCCGGGGGGGUCGUCCCGGGGCGCGGUGUGCCCCCGGGGCCCGUGCCCGCCGGAGGCACUCACUGUGAACGCUUUUGUGAAUGCGAGGAUUGUCUGAGUGACGAAAUGCAAUCGUUCAAAACUUUCAACAAUGGAUCUCUUGGUUCCGGCAUCGAUGAAGAACGCAGCGAAAUGCGAUAAGUAAUGUGAAUUGCAGAAUUCCGUGAAUCAUCGAAUCUUUGAACGCACAUUGCGCCCUCUGGUAUUCCGGGGGGCAUGCCUGUCCGAGCGUCAUUGCGAACCCUCAAGCACGGCUUGUGUGUUGGGCCGCCGUCCCCUCGUUUGGAGGGGACGGGCCUGAAAGGCAGCGGCGGCGUCGCGUCCGGUCCUCGAGCGUAUGGUGCUCUGUCACGCGCUCAAGGAGGGGUCCGGCCGGGGCCAUAGCCUCUGAAGGUCAAUUCUUCCAAGGUUGACCUCGGAUCAGGUAGGAGUACCCGCUGAACUUAA